Rhinichthys klamathensis goyatoka is the source of this 524-nucleotide long non-coding RNA. RefSeq lists it as uncharacterized. The record is from RefSeq and is a predicted model, not a curated record. NCBI's taxonomy places the organism in Eukaryota, Metazoa, Chordata, Actinopteri, Cypriniformes, Leuciscidae. The transcript has 5 exons.
AUCUUCCUCCGAGACUCUGAAGGCAACAAUUUAAAAACCAAAGUUCAUCAUGUCAGUAAUCAUCAUUAUCAGACGCAUGGGGGAUACAGAAGUGAAUGAUACAAGAAAUGAUGCAGUUGAUUUAGACAGAAAAUGCCCCGCUACAUGGAUGAAACUUGGACUCCAAUGCUACAAGUCCAUGCCUGAUCCGCCUGACUGGAUCACAGCAGAGGAUGGACAGUGGUUGUGGAGUGAUGAAACUGUGUUUUUGUAAACCCACUCGCGCGCUGGAGAAUCAAUUACCUGCGUGCCGAGAACUGUUUGGAGAUCACCCCUGACCAUUGCUGGAACGACAGGCCCUGUUCAUACUCAACACCCUAUAUUUGUGUUAGGACCUGUGAGGCCGUCAUCCUGCUCCACAAUUACUUUGAUUGAACUACAUUUUUCCAAUAUUACAAAAAUGUUAUUCUGAAAUCAAAUCUCUUCUAAACUUUAAUCUCUCUUCUCUGAAACACUCAAAUUAAUAAAAGCAUUGAAAAAGCAAA